Molecule: long non-coding RNA, 167 nt
Organism: Stylophora pistillata
Lineage: Eukaryota; Metazoa; Cnidaria; Anthozoa; Scleractinia; Pocilloporidae
Source: RefSeq, a predicted model, not a curated record
AUUAUUUCCAGGUCACGUUCCCAAUCCUGGUCGCCUGAAAGGUCAGAGCGAAGCUCAAAACGGUCGAAGAGAUCGGAAAGUUCUCAACACCUGUCACGAUCACCAAGGAGGCGUGGCAGAUCGCAAGAAAGAACAAGAUUUAAGCGCUCUAGGUUUCAGUCAAAGUC